Molecule: ribosomal RNA, 402 nt
Filed under: Triticum aestivum (bread wheat)
Lineage: Eukaryota; Viridiplantae; Streptophyta; Magnoliopsida; Poales; Poaceae
Description: partial small subunit ribosomal RNA
Source: RNAcentral
AUGCAAUUGGUGUCUAGUGGCCGCACUGCCAUCAACAUUAAUAGCGAGGUGGGUCCUUUCUUCCCCUCACUUUGUGGAGUCAGGUAGGGCAACCCCUUUAUCCCCUUCCUGUUCACCAUGGUGGUUGAUGCCCUGGCCGCCAUUCUGGUCUUGGCCAAGGCGGCCGGCCACAUCCGUGGCAUCAUCCCGCAUCUGGUGCCUGGAGGGGUCUCCUUCUUGCAAUAUGCGGAUGGCACGAUUAUCAUGGUCGAAGGGUCUGACAACGAUAUAGCCAACCUGAAAUUCCUCUUGCUCUGCUUCCAGCAGAUGUCGGUUUUAAGCAUCAACUUUGCUAAGAGUGAAGUUAUGGUCCUGAUAACCCACAAGUAUAGGGGAUCAGUUGUAGCCUCUUUCGAUAAGUAA